UACGUAGGGUGCAAGCGUUGUCCGGAAUUAUUGGGCGUAAAGAGCUCGUGGGCGGUUUGUCGCGUCUGCUGUGAAAACCCGAGGCUCAACCUCGGGCCUGCAGUGGGUACGGGCAGACUAGAGUGCGGUAGGGGAGAUUGGAAUUCCUGGUGUAGCGGUGAAAUGCGCAGAUAUCAGGAGGAACACCAAUGGCGAAGGCAGAUCUCUGGGCCGUAACUGACGCUGAGGAGCGAAAGCAUGGGGAGCGAACAGG
Molecule: ribosomal RNA, 253 nt
Filed under: uncultured bacterium
Lineage: Bacteria
Description: partial 16S ribosomal RNA
Rfam family: Bacterial small subunit ribosomal RNA
Source: RNAcentral